RNAcentral lists this long non-coding RNA (482 nucleotides) under Ananas comosus (pineapple). RNAcentral's name for it is "long non-coding RNA (ACOM_LNC033153)". The record is from RNAcentral. Lineage: Eukaryota; Viridiplantae; Streptophyta; Magnoliopsida; Poales; Bromeliaceae.
UCUCAAGUAUCCAAUCCUCAUGUCUCUAACAUGGUAUCGUCACUAGCAUCCCGAAAAUCUAGUUUAAGUCACAAGGUGAAGUUCUAACAUUCACUACGCCUAGUGCCCCUUGAUGACACUUAGACAAUUUAAUGUUCAACAUAAUCCAAAUCCCUCAAUGGCCCUAACCACUAGGUUCACACAUAUCCCGAGCUCAAUGCCGCUUGAUGACAUUAGCUCUCUAAUUCACAUACAUUCUAGUUCGAUGCCUCUAUAUGGCAAUUUUGUCAUCUUUCAUGUCUCAAAUAAACCUAGGUUUAAAUACAUGAAUCAAAGCUUAUUUUCAUUAUAAGGAACAUGGCCCAACAUGAGAAUGCUAAACAAUCAACCAUAAGCUUCAUAUGCGACUCUCUAUUACAUAGAAGUCCAAAAUUGCACUAUAUGUAACAUAGGCAUUUUAAGCAUUCUAAAAUUCACAAUAAAUACAUAUAACAAGAAUAUGC